This 2211-nucleotide unclassified non-coding RNA is filed under the name Acyrthosiphon pisum (pea aphid). RNAcentral's name for it is "uncharacterized LOC100569807, transcript variant X1". Lineage: Eukaryota; Metazoa; Arthropoda; Insecta; Hemiptera; Aphididae. The record is from RNAcentral.
CUGCUAAAUGAUAAAAAAAAAAGUUAAGAAACACAAUAAAAAAAAUUUUUGUUUUUUACUUUAUGUCAAGCGUCUACUACAUUGUCACGUGUAUUUUUAAAAGUAAAAUAUACUGUACAUUUUGAAUUGUACCUAGUGUUGUUUUAAGUGUUAUUACCAUUUUUGAACGGUUGUUGUUGAUGUUAUUGUUUUUAUAAUUCAUCAAAAUGGUUUUAAUGUGCUCAGUUCCACUUUGUAAAAGUGUUUCAUCUAAACAACACAAUGUUAAACUACACAAGUUUGCAGCAUCAGAAGAACUUAAGCGUAAAUGGCUAGAUAGUAUUAAGUUAUACUAUCCUAAUUUUAAAAUUAGCAAAUUCAGUUUAGUGUGUAGUAAACAUUUUGCUGAAAUUGAUUUUAUUAAAACCACUAGAUCAAAAUCCUUUUCACUACGUAAAGAUGCAGUACCCUCAUUGUUCGACGUUGAAGAAUGUGUGUAUGUUUUCAAUGAUAUUUAUGGUGAUCCUAAUAUUAGUAGCCUAUCUACUGUUGAUGUUAUGGAAGUUGAACCAACAUAUUCAUUUUGUAAAGAUGCAGUACCUACGUUGUUUGAUGAUGAAGAAUGUGUGUAUGUUUUCAAUGAUAGUGAACUUGAUGGUGAUUCUAAUAUUCCUAGCACAUCUAUUAUUGAUGUUAUGGAAACUUCCAAGGGUGUAACAACAUCACCAAAGAUGAGUAAUAAUUCCAAUAUUUCUGGACCAUCAUGAUUUGCAAACGUUGAUUUUAUAGAAACUUCCAUAAAAGUAACUACACCAACAAAUAUGAGCAAUAUUUCUGGACCAUCAAACAUUGAUGUCAUGAAAACUUCUAUUUUGGAUAUUCAAGUACCAGUAACUCCAAAAAGAAUGACGAAUACUACCAAUAAGUCCAUACAUCUAGACAUUUAUAUUAAAAUCAAUUUCAAAGAUAAAUAUCAACAAAUACUUUCUAAACUUGACUGAUCAUAUACAUAAUGAACAUCCGAUAAAUAAUCAUUUAAUUCAAAUCAUCAAAGAAAUUUUCAAAACUUAUUUUAGUAUAAGAAUACACCAUUUCAACCAAACAAGUAGUCAGCCUACAGAAAGAAUACAAUCACAUUUUACAAAACUUGUACAUUUCAGACAUCAGUAAUAUAUAUGUUCACAUAGGUAGUAAGUUAUAAUAAUUUAAGUCAUUGUUGAUUGUUAUAAAAUAUCCUAAUAAAAUAUUAUUUUUUAUUCAUUAAAUAAAUUCAUUUUGUAUUUCUUUUGUUAAAAGUAAGUAAUAAUAUUUAAGGCAGUUAUAAUAUCAAAGGCAAGUUUAUUUAGCACUCUGUUUAUUACUUCGUUUAUAGCUGAUAAAAUAAGUUCUUCACCAACAGCAUGUGGUGUGCCAGAUUUGACAAUCAGUAAAGAAAUGUAAAAAAAUGCAAUCCAUCAUCAUCUUGCAUCAACAUUGUUGAAAACAUUUUGACAGAUGUUGGAUAUUUAAAAAAUGUCUUCUCAAGUGUUUGAAAACAAAACGAAUCUAUAUUUUUUUUAUUACCUAGCAUUAACUUGUAUUCGAUUUUCUUGCAGUCAUGACGGUUUCAUAGCUUCAUUUGUAAAAGUUUUUGGCAAAUGAGGCACAUCAGUAAUGUAAUAUUUGAAGGCAAUGAAUAAAAAUAUUUAACCGUACUUCGAACAUUUAAUAUUAUACUGCCCAUAUUUUUCGGUCGGCAUCCGUGUAAAAUAAAUAAUAAUUACUAAAUACAAUGAGAAAUGAGAAUUCAAAUAAUAUAAAUUUUUCCAGAGUCCAAAAUAUAAAUUAUUAUGAAUUCUUCUGCGAUAACGACCGGAUUCGGCAAACAACGAAAGAUAUAAUUCUAAAAAUACAAAAUACACAGGAAACUUUAAGCGACAUAAACAAUAUAUCUAUUAUAAAUAUGACAAAACCAUAAUGAAUUAUAUAACUACCUAUAUUGGCAGGAAACAUAAAUAGAAGAAACAAUAAAUAUUAAUUUUAUCUUCCCAAAUACUGGUUUUUGCCUAUCAGAUGUUGACUUAUUUUUUCACCGUGCUAUGGGUGUUGAAGGCGCAGUCCAUUCAGUUAAUAUGUCUAUGUAGAAUACAUUGCAAUAGUCACAAUAUUAUUCCCAUUGGAUAAAUAUAAUUUAUAAGUUCAAUUAUAUUUUAAGCUAUUCAUAAUAAUUAAUAACAUAUUUUAAAUUGUAUA